RNAcentral lists this ribosomal RNA (270 nucleotides) under uncultured archaeon. RNAcentral describes it as "partial 16S ribosomal RNA". It matches the Rfam family "Archaeal small subunit ribosomal RNA", at positions 477 to 747 of the family's 1478-position model. The record is from RNAcentral.
CAGCGCCACGAGUGGUAACCGCGAUUAUUGGGCCUAAAGCAUCCGUAGCCGGCGCUGUAAGUUUUCGGUUAAAUCUGUACGCUCAACGUACAGGCUGCCGGGAAUACUGCAGCGCUAGGGAGUGGGAGAGGUAGACGGUACUCGGUAGGAAGGGGUAAAAUCCUUUGAUCUAUUGAUGACCACCUGUGGCGGAGGCGGUCUACCAGAACACGUCCGACGGUGAGGGAUGAAAGCUGGGGGAGCAAACCGGAUUAGAGACCCGCGUAGUCC